UGAGAGUAAAAAGUAUAAGACAAUAAAAAUGGAAACCUUUCACGUCAAUUAGAAUUUAGAACCAUAUCAGUGCUAAUUAAUUCAUUUUUUCUAUAGUAGUGAUUUUUAGCACCAUAAUAAUUUGUUUGCAAGCAUUCUUCAGCUAACUCAUAUGUUUGGGGAUUGCCUUAUUCCGGCCAUCUUCUGAUAACGUCUGAAAAGUAAGGAAAACUCAGGAUAGGUUAUUUUCAAAAUCAUGGUCGACACCCAUAAAACCUAAUAAAACUUAAGGGAAGUUACUUCUGUCCUCUAUGAUUUGGUUCACCAUAUCUUUUUACUAUCUAUCUAAACAUGUACCCUUGCUUUCAAAGUUUAACAAUUACAACCUUUCUAACAAACAAUGUGAGAACUGAGAACAGUUAAACUGUCAUCAUCUAUUGUCUACAUGCCCUACAUACCUAGAUACUUACCCCAAGGUCAUAGAUAGCUAACUUGUAUAAAUCAUUGUCUUUAAUUACAAUUCCACCAAUCCCUGCAUUGUUCACCUGUAUUGAACAACUUUUAUUAGUAAAAUAUGUAAACAUAAAAAUGAUAAGCCAAGAUAUUUCCUUCAAAGCUAUGU
Molecule: long non-coding RNA, 601 nt
Filed under: Lotus japonicus
Lineage: Eukaryota; Viridiplantae; Streptophyta; Magnoliopsida; Fabales; Fabaceae
Description: long non-coding RNA (LJAP_LNC001342)
Source: RNAcentral